Molecule: ribosomal RNA, 340 nt
Filed under: Dinera fuscata
Lineage: Eukaryota; Metazoa; Arthropoda; Insecta; Diptera; Tachinidae
Description: partial 16S ribosomal RNA
Source: RNAcentral
UCUUUUAAUUGAAGGCUGGUAUGAAUGGUUGGACAAAUAUUAACUGUUUCAUAAAUAUUUUUAUUAAAAUUUUAUUUUUUAGUCAAAAAGCUAAAAUAAAUUUAAAAGACAAGAAGACCCUAUAAAUCUUUAUAAUUUAACUAUUAAAAAUUUAUAGAAUUAUUUUAUUAUAAUAGUAAGUAUUAUUUUAUUGGGGUGAUAUUAAAAUUUAAUUAACUUUUAAUUUUAAAUUUCAUUAAUUUAUGAGUGAUUGAUCCAUUAUUAAUGAUUAAUAAAAUAAGUUACUUUAGGGAUAACAGCGUAAUUUUUUUGGAGAGUUCAUAUCAAUAAAAAAGAUUGC